AUGCAACUAUUUGACAGACCUGGAGCAGUUACUAUCUGCUGCUAAGGUCUCCACUACAGAUGCAAGAAAAACAUGUCCUUGCGUUUUUCUGUCUAAUUGCGGCAGCUGAGAAUGAACAGAGGAAUACAGGG
This is a small nucleolar RNA of Callithrix jacchus (white-tufted-ear marmoset), 131 nucleotides long. NCBI's taxonomy places the organism in Eukaryota, Metazoa, Chordata, Mammalia, Primates, Cebidae. The record is from Ensembl.